UGUAUUUUAUUUAGAUAUAGGGUCUCACUGAGUUGCUUAGCACCUCAUUUUUGCUCGACUGGCUUUAAACUCAAGAUCCUCCUGCCUCAGCCUCCAGAGCCACUGGGAUUUUAGACAUGUGCCACCACUGACUACAGCUGCAUUUUAAAUGUCCUGUUGAAACUUUAGUCUCCUUCUUGAAGGGAUAUCAGAUUUUAAGGUCUAUCAAGUUGACUAUUGUGAGACUAUUUGUUUUGUCCUCAGGUUUAGUAUGUAAUUUCUAAUCUAAAGGGUAUUUCUAUAAGAAAAAAGUCCUCUGUCGCCCUUUGCCAGUGGUAUAAUAAUUUAUUCUCUAACUUUAAUUCUUGAAGUUAUUUUUCCUUUGAUUUAUAGUAUUUCUGAUCUCCUUCUUCUAUCUUUAGGGCAGUAGUGCAUUGGCCUCUCCUGAAUACAUCUUUAAGGUUGCAAGAAAAGAUGUUUUGACUUUGAAAUAUAUUUUUAAGUACCCCUUAAUGUUUUAGAGAAAAGAUGUAAAGUAUAUAUUUGGACUAUAUUAAUACACACACUGGUAUUUUCCAAUCCACAUUCAGGUCCACAAGUUUGGGCAAUAUUCAUUGUGAUCCAAAAAUGAGUGGUCCUAUACCAUAGUCCUCACUGCUUGGAUUUUUGACAAUAAAUAUUGUGUUUUAACGAAACUCAAGAAAGUUAUUGGAUCAGUAAGACAUUAUUUCUAAUCAUACCUUGAAAAACUUUAGAAAAGUUUUCUUUUAAUACUCAUACAUAUUCCAAUAACAGCAAAUAAUAUAGCCAGGGAAUUUUUGAAAAGAUGCUUCUAGGAUUUUGUUUUAACUUUAAGAGAAUUCUUCCAUUUCAUGCUAUCUCUUUUCAUUAGUAUCUCUUAGUGAAUGUAACUUUCUCACCUAAAAUAUUUGUAAACAAAACAAUGAAACAUAUUUUGUUUUGUUUUGUUUUAAAUUUUGUCUCUAAGACCUGCAUCUAUGAACAGCACAUCAGGGCCCCAAUUGUUAAAGAUCUUCCAAAUUCUUGGCAGAGUAAAAUUAAUGCUAGUGAGCAAUCUACAGUCAUAUUUUAGCAAACAGCUUUAAGAAACCAAAUCAUGAUAGAUAAAUGUUGACAGUAUUUUACAUAAGCUUGUUAACAAUUAUAUGAAAAACAUUUUAGUUAAAGCUAAGAACAAUGCACUAUUUAGCAUAGAUUUUUGUAGGACUCCACAUUCUUUUAAUGAGCAUUUCACAGUUAUUGUUUAUUUUGCUUAUUUUUUGCAAAUCAAUAUCUAUCUAUAUAUAUACAUAUAUACGUGUGUGUGUGUGUGUGUGUGUGUGUGUGUGUGUGUAUGUGUAUAAUGGAUAAUGUUCCUUUAUAAAAUUCCUGGGUAAAUUGUUUACAAAUAGAAAAACAGUAAAGCUGAAUUACUUUACAUUUCUCCAAAUAUAGAUCAAUUUUUAAUCCAUUCAGAGUUUGUGCAUAAGCCAUCUAUAAUUCCAAAAUGUUCCACUGAAUGAGUAUAUCGUGCAAAUGUUAAUUUCUCCUUAUUCAGUUUUAUAUUAUUAUUAUUUAUUAUUAUAUAUUAUUGACAUUUUUAUGGCAAAACAAAUGCUUAAUGUUAUUCAUGUAUGUGUUACCAUUUUAAGCCAUUUUAAAUAAUACACCAAAUGACUAUUACAAGGAUCACUGUCCCAAGAUGCAAAGAAAGAUUUUAAUUUUUUUCUUUUCUUUAUGAGUUGUUAGGAUGAAAAAUCUUAAAGCUGUGUUGAUUUUGCAGGUCAGUAUUUAUUUCUUACUUUGUUAUGUGAAUAUGCAUGAAAGAGAAGAAAGGGAUUGGCUUCUGAUUCAUUCAUUCAUUUAUAUUCUCCGCGCCCCCAUCUCUUUUCUCCUCCACUUCCUUCCCUCCCCACCUUUUUCCCUCCUUCUCUCUUUCUCUAAGUCUAAGGGAAUUGGGAAAUUGCCACUAAAGAUUUUUCCCUGAAAAGCCAAGUGUUAGUAUGAUAUUAUGCUGAUCCAUCUAUGAGCAGAGUUCCACUAUAGUCAAGCAGUAAUUUACAGCUCUGGCUCUUUGAAUACUACUGUAUUUUAGUUAAGAAGUCUUUUUGUUUGUUUUUCACUUGGAUAGGAAGAGAUCUGUAUGAAUGAAAUGGUCAAAUUUUCAUUUACAUUCCUACUAAGAGACACAAUGUAAGACAUUGAUUUUUUUUUAACUUGUACAAUAAGAAACUAGAAAAGGAACUCAAGAGAAAUUUUGCUGUGGUCUAAAGAUCUCAGAGGAGACCAGCAAAGCUGCAGACACUUGCUGCCUGCAGAGCUGAGCAGAGCUUUUGCUGAGCGCUGGGGAUGAACACAAAGUGUUGACUUGUUGGAGAUAAUCGUGAGACCAUCUUAACUUUACUUGCCUUAUAAGUUAGAAAAAGUGUGGAUAUCACUUUUUUGUAAAUACUGAUUUUUAUAAAUGUUUUUCCUUCCUAACUUGCCCUAUCACUCAUUUCACAAAAUCUUGAAUAUGCAAUUAUUUGUCAUGACACAUUACUGCAAAUAAGGUUCCCAUUUCAGAAUAAAGUUUAAUUCUACCUGUGAGUAAGCUGUUAUAGAAAUGUGAUUUUUUUUUCUGGAAAAAAAUUAAAAUAAAUUGAGUUGUGAACCUCUUUUA
This is a non-coding RNA of Ictidomys tridecemlineatus (thirteen-lined ground squirrel), 2641 nucleotides long. The record is from RefSeq and is a predicted model, not a curated record. NCBI's taxonomy places the organism in Eukaryota, Metazoa, Chordata, Mammalia, Rodentia, Sciuridae.